This 32-nucleotide non-coding RNA is filed under the name Mus musculus (house mouse). The record is from RNAcentral. Lineage: Eukaryota; Metazoa; Chordata; Mammalia; Rodentia; Muridae.
UCUAUUGGUUAAAAAAAGAUGAUCAGCCAAGA